AACUUCGGGAAAAGGAUUGGCUCUAAGGGUUGAGUGGAUGGAGUCGGCGCUCCGAAGCCUGUGCCUAGUUUUGGCUUACUGCGGAUGGCUCUCGGGCUGACUGCGGCGAGCCUUGAUCUGGCCUAGGUGAACGAGUACCGAUCGCGAGCAUGAGAGGGCAACUUUUCAUCUCUUCCGCCACAAAGAACAACCAACUUAGAACUGGAGCGGACAAGGGGAAUCCGACUGUUU
RNAcentral lists this ribosomal RNA (231 nucleotides) under Prasinoderma coloniale. RNAcentral's name for it is "partial Eukaryotic large subunit ribosomal RNA". It matches the Rfam family "Eukaryotic large subunit ribosomal RNA", at positions 1932 to 2143 of the family's 3401-position model. Lineage: Eukaryota; Viridiplantae; Prasinodermophyta; Prasinodermophyceae; Prasinodermales; Prasinodermaceae. The record is from RNAcentral.